CCCGACUGCUAUCAGAAUAGGACUAAGCCCAUGCGAGUCAACGUAGUAAUACGUGGCAUACGGCUCAGUAACACGUAGUCAACAUGCCCAGAGGACGUGGAUAACCUCGGGAAACUGAGGAUAAACCGCGAUAGGUCAUAAUAUCUGGAAUGAUUUAUGGCUUAAAUCUAUAUGGCCUCUGGAUUGGACUGCGGCCGAUCAGGCUGUUGGUGAGGUAAUGGCCCACCAAACCUGUUACCGGUACGGGCUCUGAGAGGAGGAGCCCGGAGAUGGGCACUGAGACAAGGGCCCAGGCCCUAUGGGGCGCAGCAGGCGCGAAACCUCUGCAAUAGGCGAAAGCCUGACAGGGUUACUCUGAGUGAUGCCCGCUAAGGGUAUCUUUUGGCACCUCUAAAAAUGGUGCAGAAUAAGGGGUGGGCAAGUCUGGUGUCAGCCGCCGCGGUAAUACCAGCACCCCGAGUGGUCGGGACGAUUAUUGGGCCUAAAGCAUCCGUAGCCGGUUCUACAAGUCUUCCGUUAAAUCCACCUGCUUAACAGAUGGGCUGCGGAGGAUACUAUAGAGCUAGGAGGCGGGAGAGGCAAGCGGUACUCGAUGGGUAGGGGUAAAAUCCGUUGAUCCAUUGAAGACCACCAGUGGCGAAGGCGGCUUGCCAGAACGCGCUCGACGGUGAGGGAUGAAAGCUGGGGGAGCAAACCGGAUUAGAUACCCGGGUAGUCCCAGCUGUAAACGAUGCAGACUCGGUGAUGAAUAGGCUUCGUGCCUAUUCAGUGCCGCAGGGAAGCCGUUAAGUCUGCCGCCUGGGGAGUACGGUCGCAAGACUGAAACUUAAAGGAAUUGGCGGGGGAGCACCACAAGGGGUGAAGCCUGCGGUUC
This 874-nucleotide ribosomal RNA is filed under the name uncultured archaeon. RNAcentral's name for it is "bacterial SSU rRNA". It matches the Rfam family "Archaeal small subunit ribosomal RNA", at positions 21 to 903 of the family's 1478-position model. The record is from RNAcentral.